This 94-nucleotide transfer RNA is filed under the name Streptomyces goshikiensis. RNAcentral's name for it is "tRNA-Arg". The record is from RNAcentral. Lineage: Bacteria; Bacillati; Actinomycetota; Actinomycetes; Kitasatosporales; Streptomycetaceae.
GGUGCUGCUGGUACUGCGGGAGUCCUCGCGGCCGCCUUCGCAGCGGCCGACGCUGGUGGAGGCGGACCGGCUGUUCGAGUCGGCCCGGAAUUCC